RNAcentral lists this ribosomal RNA (484 nucleotides) under uncultured bacterium. RNAcentral describes it as "partial 16S ribosomal RNA". It matches the Rfam family "Bacterial small subunit ribosomal RNA", at positions 30 to 507 of the family's 1533-position model. The record is from RNAcentral.
AUUGAACGCUGGCGGCAGGCCUAACACAUGCAAGUCGAGCGGAUGAAGGGAGCUUGCUCCUGGCUUCAGCGGCGGACGGGUGAGUAAUGCCUAGGAAUCUGCCUGGUAGUGGGGGAUAACGUCCGGAAACGGGCGCUAAUACCGCAUACGUCCUGAGGGAGAAAGUGGGGGAUCUUCGGACCUCACGCUAUCAGAUGAGCCUAGGUCGGAUUAGCUAGUUGGUGGGGUAAAGGCCUACCAAGGCGACGAUCCGUAACUGGUCUGAGAGGAUGAUCAGUCACACUGGAACUGAGACACGGUCCAGACUCCUACGGGAGGCAGCAGUGGGGAAUAUUGGACAAUGGGCGAAAGCCUGAUCCAGCCAUGCCGCGUGUGUGAAGAAGGUCUUCGGAUUGUAAAGCACUUUAAGUUGGGAGGAAGAGCAGUAAGUUAAUACCUUGCUGUUUUGACGUUACCAACAGAAUAAGCACCGGCUAACUUCGUG